GACGAACGCUGGCGGCGUGCCUAAUACAUGCAAGUCGAGCGAAUCUUGAGGUGCUUGCACCUCUUGGUUAGCGGCGGACGGGUGAGUAACACGUGGGCAACCUGCCUGUAAGACUGGGAUAACUUCGGGAAACCGGAGCUAAUACCGGAUAAUCCUUUUCCUUUCAUGAGGAAAAGCUGAAAGUCGGUUUUUCGCUGACACUUACAGAUGGGCCCGCGGCGCAUUAGCUAGUUGGUGAGGUAACGGCUCACCAAGGCGACGAUGCGUAGCCGACCGGAGAGGGUGAUCGGCCACACUGGGACUGAGACACGGCCCAGACUCCUACGGGAGGCAGCAGUAGGGAAUCUUCCGCAAUGGACGAAAGUCUGACGGAGCAACGCCGCGUGAGCGAUGAAGGCCUUCGGGUCGUAAAGCUCUGUUGUUAGGGAAGAACAAGUAUCGGAGUAACUGCCGGUACCUUGACGGUACCUAACCAGAAAGCCACGGCUAACUACGUGCCAGCCGCCGCAGUAA
RNAcentral lists this ribosomal RNA (513 nucleotides) under uncultured bacterium. Its description in RNAcentral is "partial 16S ribosomal RNA". It matches the Rfam family "Bacterial small subunit ribosomal RNA", at positions 28 to 523 of the family's 1533-position model. The record is from RNAcentral.